Long non-coding RNA from Cercocebus atys (sooty mangabey), 858 nucleotides. RefSeq lists it as uncharacterized. The record is from RefSeq and is a predicted model, not a curated record. Lineage: Eukaryota; Metazoa; Chordata; Mammalia; Primates; Cercopithecidae. The transcript has 3 exons.
UAUUCUAUUAGUUCUGCCCCUCUAAGAGAACCCUGACUAAUACACUUGGACAGCCUGGAAAAUCAUGUCCUGCAUCUAGACAAUACCCACAUGGGUCACACUUUAAUGGCAACAAUAUAGUUAUUCUAGAUCAGAGACUUGGAAGGGACUACGGCUUGAGACAUAUGAGUGUGUCUCAAGGAACUGGACCAGUUUUAGCAUAGAUUUUUUGAAGCAUUAAAAGCCCACCUACAUCCUAGUUUCCCAUAAUGAAAGUGUGGCGCUCCACUGCACUGAGCUUUGGGAGGGGGUUAGGUGUGUGAGACACAGCAGUGUCAAAUUGCAGUGUUUAAUUUCCGCGACUAAAUAAACACUCCAUUUACAUGAAUUGUGUAUUAUAGAAGGGAGUAAUUGCAGAGUCAUGACCAAGGCAGGAUGCAGAGAUUGACAAGGGGUUGGAGUAAGAGCCAUACCUGCUUCACCAAUGAUUUUCAAAGGAGACAGAGGCUUUCUUUGUUGAGCUGUCUUCCUGAGGUUGUUUGGAGCCGCUGUGUCAUGGAUAAAGAACUCCCUAAAGCCAGUGCCAACAAGCUUGCGCUGAACAUCAAGAAGCCUGACAAGUCCUUCAAAUGCAAGAAGCCCACCAAAAAUGUGCUGGUCUUUUUAAUCAACAGACAACUGGGCAGGCACAGAAGUGACAUCGACCUGUCAAGGUGGCUAUGGAUGCUGUCAUAAAGCAACCCCAGGGUGAACAUGGCUUUGGACAAAAGUCAUGUGGCUUAUGUGCUGAGGCCUGCCCAGAAUUUUGAGAAAUUAAAUAUAAUUAGAACAAUAAACUCCUCCCAUGUUUGAGCCAUUAAAACAGAGUCUGUCAUUUCA